This is a long non-coding RNA of Gadus macrocephalus (Pacific cod), 978 nucleotides long. RefSeq lists it as uncharacterized. The transcript is spliced from 2 exons. Lineage: Eukaryota; Metazoa; Chordata; Actinopteri; Gadiformes; Gadidae. The record is from RefSeq and is a predicted model, not a curated record.
CGAGCUCCAGCACGGAGGGGAUGUCAUCGUCAAACAUAGGCCUGGAGAUCAGAAAACACGGUUUGAACACACAAGAAUCUUCCAAGUGAAAAGGACUAAAUAAAGAUUAUAAUCUUGUCUAGUCUGCAUUAUUAGGGUUAUUUCAUGAAUGGUUACAUCAGGAUAUUUAAAUAGCUUUAAUAAUUUUAUUUUCUCAACAUCCCCACUACUUUGAAGUGGCAGUCAUUUUAGUGGUUAGAUAAAUUCACGGUGAUGAACAAUCUUUGAGGAUUAAUGGAUGGGGGAAUUACCAUAUUACCAUAGAUAGAUUAAAGGUUGGGUAUGGAAUUCUCUUUUUUGGCCAUUUUUGCAAAAUUACUUGAAAUACUUAUCAUAACCCACUUACAGCCACUGAGUUAGAAGUACUGACAUGAAAAUUAAACAAGUCAAUCAUCUGUGGAACGGACAGGGCUCGAAAAACUCCAGCCAAUGAUUUCCAGAACCACAGAGUGGCAUUGGACCGUAAGUACGUCAAUCAAACGGUCAUACUGCACUCCCCCUCCCCCGCUCCCCGCACGUGACCCCUUCGUGCACGUACUCAAAGCUCGUGACCCAGAGCAAGCUUCUGUUUGUUGUUAUCCUGUAGUAGCUACUGGAGCUAGCUAACUAGCUAAUCCACAUUUGGACCUAGCACUAGAAGACAACCCUAAACUCCAACCAAGCUAGCCUGGCUCGCUCUCGUGCAUCUGUGUUCGCGUUCGUGCAUGAUUGCGCGUCCAUGUACUUGGAAUGGGUAGAGUCAGAGUCCGCGUUGAAGGAGAGGGGAAGACGAGGAGCCGAGGUGAAUAAAGAAGGCUACAGCUACUGGAAGGAAGACAAAGUGGACUAAAACAGGUAUGGACAAGAAUGUGAGUCAAACCAAAAUGACUAAGUGGUUCACUGGAAUACUACUGACAUCAACAAUGUUUCAGUGACGUUUUGUGCAUUCAACCGUGUUAC